This 780-nucleotide long non-coding RNA is filed under the name Cairina moschata (Muscovy duck). RNAcentral's name for it is "domestica (muscovy Duck (domestic type)) lncRNA (ENSCMMG00000002264.1)". The record is from RNAcentral. Lineage: Eukaryota; Metazoa; Chordata; Aves; Anseriformes; Anatidae.
GUGAAUACUCAAGUAUUCCUAUUCAAGUGACUGAUAAAAAUUCUUUCGUUUUGGUAGGCAUAAUUUUACAUUUUCCAAACAGGUAAAAUAUUCUGGAAUUUCAAUUUCUUGAAUUUACUUUACUUGUGGAAAUAAAGCUUUGCUGAAAGCCAUACUGCUUGAUACUAUGAUUUUGUUUACAUAUCUCUAGAAAGGAGACAAUUGGAAAUGAUGAUAUCACUGUUUUACAGGUAGCCAACACCCUUGGCUGUGUGAAUUUUGGCUGAGAUGGUGAGGAGUGCUGCCACCCAAGUAUGAUUCCACCGCCAAAUCCAUCGAUGUUUCAUACUGAGAAUGGGUGAACAUGAAGAGUAUGGCAACAAUUCAAGGAAAACAAGUUGAUGAACAUAAAGGUUCACAAAGAAGUUGAGGCAUCUUGAGGUGCCAAUAUGUGAUUGUGUGACAGCAGACAGGAAAAUGACUGCAAAUGAGAAUACGGAGGCGAAGAGGGUUGGAGUAAGAGUUCCAGAUGUUUCGACAGCUUACUAGAAAGAAAUGGACUGACGGAAUGCUUCUUAAUUUUCCAGUUUCAUCAAAGAGGUUUACAGAUACAAAACAAAGAAAUGAAGAUGUGUAAGACAAUACCUACAUUCAUCCUGCUGCUUACAGGGUAUUUUGUUCAUUUUAGCAUACAGUGUCACAAUUAAUGCAAGCUGCUGUGACAAACUAUGAACUCUUAAUGAGAUAAAAUGUUCAUCACUGUAAAUUGAGGUCACAUACCAGGUCACCAGUUCCUGAAAG